RNAcentral lists this ribosomal RNA (273 nucleotides) under uncultured bacterium. RNAcentral describes it as "partial 16S ribosomal RNA". It matches the Rfam family "Bacterial small subunit ribosomal RNA", at positions 505 to 776 of the family's 1533-position model. The record is from RNAcentral.
GUGCCAGCAGCCCGCGGUAAUACGUAGGUGGCGAGCGUUAUCCGGAAUUAUUGGGCGUAAAGAGCGCGCAGGUGGUUGAUUAAGUCUGAUGUGAAAGCCCAUGGCUUAACCGUGGAGGGUCAUUGGAAACUGGUCGACUUGAGUGCAGAAGAGGGAAGUGGAAUUCCAUGUGUAGCGGUGAAAUGCGUAGAGAUAUGGAGGAACACCAGUGGCGAAGGCGGCUUCCUGGUCUGUAACUGACACUGAGGCGCGAAAGCGUGGGGAGCAAACAGG